UACGGAGGGUGCAAGCGUUGUCCGGAUUUAUUGGGGUUAAAGGGUGCGUAGGCGGCUUUUUAAGUCAGUGGUGAAAGACAACAGCUCAACUGUUGCAGUGCCAUUGAUACUGAAGAGCUUGAGUACAGAUGAGGUAAGCGGAAUUUAUGGUGUAGCGGUGAAAUGCAUAGAUACCAUAAAGAACACCUAUUGCGAAGGCAGCUUACUAAGCUGUAACUGACGCUGAGGCACGAAAGUGUGGGGAUCAAACAGG
RNAcentral lists this ribosomal RNA (253 nucleotides) under uncultured bacterium. RNAcentral describes it as "partial 16S ribosomal RNA". It matches the Rfam family "Bacterial small subunit ribosomal RNA", at positions 524 to 776 of the family's 1533-position model. The record is from RNAcentral.